GUGCUGGCUCUAGCAGCACAUAUAGUAAAAUUGAAAUGAAACAGAGAAGAUUAGCAUGGCCCCAUGUGCUUCCGUCUAUGGGGUCACACAGAGUCGGACACGACUGAAGUGACUUAGCAGCAGCAGCAGCAGCAUGUGCAAGGAUGACAUGCACUUUUGUGAAGCAUUCCAUAUUAAA
RNAcentral lists this small nuclear RNA (178 nucleotides) under Moschus moschiferus (Siberian musk deer). The record is from RNAcentral. Lineage: Eukaryota; Metazoa; Chordata; Mammalia; Artiodactyla; Moschidae.